AUUGAACGCUGGCGGCAGGCUUAACACAUGCAAGUCGAGCGGGGUGAUGGUGCUUGCACUAUCACUUAGCGGCGGACGGGUGAGUAAUGCUUAGGAAUCUGCCUAUUAGUGGGGGACAACAUCUCGAAAGGGAUGCUAAUACCGCAUACGUCCUACGGGAGAAAGCAGGGGAUCACUUGUGACCUUGCGCUAAUAGAUGAGCCUAAGUCGGAUUAGCUAGUUGGUGGGGUAAAGGCCUACCAAGGCGACGAUCUGUAGCGGGUCUGAGAGGAUGAUCCGCCACACUGGGAGUGAGACACGGCCCAGACUGCUACGGGAGGCAGCAGUGGGGAAUAUUGGACAAUGGGGGGAACCCUGAUCCAGCCAUGCCGCGUGUGUGAAGAAGGCCUUAUGGUUGUAAAGCACUUUAAGCGAGGAGGAGGCUCUUUUGGUUAAUACCCAAGAUGAGUGGACGUUACUCGCAGAAUAAGCACCGGCUAACUCUGUGCCAGCCGCCGCGGUAA
RNAcentral lists this ribosomal RNA (503 nucleotides) under uncultured bacterium. RNAcentral describes it as "partial 16S ribosomal RNA". It matches the Rfam family "Bacterial small subunit ribosomal RNA", at positions 30 to 523 of the family's 1533-position model. The record is from RNAcentral.